GACGAACGCUGGCGGCGUGCUUAACACAUGCAAGUCGAGCGGUAAGGCCUUUCGGGGUACACGAGCGGCGAACGGGUGAGUAACACGUGGGUGAUCUGCCCUGCACUUCGGGAUAAGCCUGGGAAACUGGGUCUAAUACCGGAUAUGACCUCCUAUCGCAUGGUGGGUGGUGGAAAGAUUUAUCGGUGCAGGAUGGGCCCGCGGCCUAUCAGCUUGUUGGUGGGGUAAUGGCCUACCAAGGCGACGACGGGUAGCCGACCUGAGAGGGUGACCGGCCACACUGGGACUGAGACACGGCCCAGACUCCUACGGGAGGCAGCAGUGGGGAAUAUUGCACAAUGGGCGAAAGCCUGAUGCAGCGACGCCGCGUGAGGGAUGACGGCCUUCGGGUUGUAAACCUCUUUCAGCAGGGACGAAGCGCAAGUGACGGUACCUGCAGAAGAAGCACCGGCUAACUCCG
RNAcentral lists this ribosomal RNA (460 nucleotides) under uncultured bacterium. RNAcentral describes it as "partial 16S ribosomal RNA". It matches the Rfam family "Bacterial small subunit ribosomal RNA", at positions 28 to 505 of the family's 1533-position model. The record is from RNAcentral.